CUGAGCCACGCACCUUCAUCCUCCUCACAUCCCGCUCUUGGACAUGGUGGCCCCCGGUUGCGUGACCAGCCGGCUGGUCACAGUGUCCCCUUCCUGCUGGUCCUGGUGGACCUGCAGUACAAAGCCAUUCCCAGUGAUCCUGUGGUUAGAACAAGGAAGAUCCACUCUACUUCAAGACUCUUGAAAACACACCCGCUUUUCCUGAAUUUUCUAAUCUACUCUCUACAGAGAUAAAUUCUGUAAGUCCUGUUAAUAAAAAUACUAUAUUACUUGUUUGUUAAU
This 282-nucleotide long non-coding RNA is filed under the name Heterocephalus glaber (naked mole-rat). RNAcentral's name for it is "lncRNA (ENSHGLG00100046839.1)". The record is from RNAcentral. Lineage: Eukaryota; Metazoa; Chordata; Mammalia; Rodentia; Bathyergidae.